This is a long non-coding RNA of Haliotis rufescens (red abalone), 904 nucleotides long. RefSeq lists it as uncharacterized. The transcript is spliced from 2 exons. The record is from RefSeq and is a predicted model, not a curated record. NCBI's taxonomy places the organism in Eukaryota, Metazoa, Mollusca, Gastropoda, Lepetellida, Haliotidae.
GAUCUGGUAAGCGACGCUCUGAUUAGUUGGAUGAAAGGUCGUUCUGACCCUUAAUGGGAUGUCCUCAGAUCUUUGUUUAGCAAUAGCGAGAACUAAGAUCAGAUUUUAAUGAGAUUGGAAGCAAUCAGAAUUAUUAGCAUAAACUGAGAGAUAUGCUAGUCUGUAUUUAUAUAGGAAACAGCUCCUCCUGGGGUUUCAAAUAACUGUAAACAUGGACUUAUUGCUCAUAGACAAGUUGAAGGGCUUCUAUGCAGAAAGAUAGACUCCAUUGGAACUUCAGCAGUGUACUCAAGUCAUUGUGAUGGAGGAACGCAGUGUUUACAAGACUGAUGUACUGACAAUGACAUCCAGUAGGACCUCGAGGUCCCAUUGCUGAAAAGGAUAUAUUGGGUUGAAGGAAAUAAUAUUACUUUAUACAAGAAUAUGUUUAUGAUAAACAAUAUACAUGUAUUGUUCUUGAACUUGUUACUUUCGUUACAAUUUCUGAUGACAACUAUGAGAAAUAGAUAUUAAUAAUUAAGUUUUUCUGAUCAACAUGGAUAUGAGGUCUUUGAAAGGCAUUUAUAAGUGAUACACAUAAGGAAGAGAAUUUAUGGAUGUCAACUUCUUUAUUAUGAUAUGAUUAUGACAUCCAUAAAUUAAAUAUUAUUAUCAUAAUAAAGAGGUUGACAUCCAUAAACUCUUCCUUAACAUGGAUAACCACAACACUGCUGUAAUAGUUUAUUAUGUGCAAUAAAACAUGAACGAAUGAUAGUACAUGUACUUGUGUAAGGAUUUGUUCUUCCAGGUGUAAAUUAGUUGUAAACAUCUGUAUCAAUAUACCCUGGAAUAGUUGCCUUAACUUUUGUUGUCAUGGUAACAACAAACAUGGACUUGAUUUUGUAUUAAAGCUUUACAUACACAA